GCACUGGUGGCAAAAUGGUUAAGUGCUUGGUAGAUAAUCAGAAGAUUGGUGGUUUGAACCCAUCCAGGUGCU
Molecule: transfer RNA, 72 nt
Filed under: Loxodonta africana (African savanna elephant)
Lineage: Eukaryota; Metazoa; Chordata; Mammalia; Proboscidea; Elephantidae
Rfam family: tRNA
About the family: Transfer RNA (tRNA) molecules are approximately 80 nucleotides in length. Their secondary structure includes four short double-helical elements and three loops (D, anti-codon, and T loops).
Source: Rfam by way of RNAcentral